GACGAACGCUGGCGGCAUGCCUAAUACAUGCAAGUCGAGCGAACAGAUGAAGUGCUUGCACUUCUGACGUUAGCGGCGAACGGGUGAGUAACACGUAAGGAAUCUACCUAUAAGCGGGGGAUAACAUUCGGAAACGGGUGCUAGUACCGCAUAAUAUCUUCUUCCGCAUGGAAGAAGAUUGAAAGACGGCUCUGCUGUCACUUAUAGAUGACCUUGCGGUGCAUUAGUUAGUUGGUGGGGUAACGGCCUACCAAGACGAUGAUGCAUAGCCGACCUGAGAGGGUGAUCGGCCACAUUGGGACUGAGACACGGCCCAAACUCCUACGGGAGGCAGCAGUAGGGAAUCUUCCGCAAUGGGCGAAAGCCUGACGGAGCAAUGCCGCGUGAGUGAAGAAGGCCUUCGGGUCGUAAAACUCUGUUAUAAGAGAAGAACAAAUUGUAGAGUAACUGCUACAGUCUUGACGGUAUCUUAUCAGAAAGCCACGGCUAACUACGUG
RNAcentral lists this ribosomal RNA (497 nucleotides) under uncultured bacterium. Its description in RNAcentral is "partial 16S ribosomal RNA". It matches the Rfam family "Bacterial small subunit ribosomal RNA", at positions 28 to 507 of the family's 1533-position model. The record is from RNAcentral.